GUCCGCUCCUCUCCUCUUCCCCUCCUCUGUUAGCCCUUUUGUGGUAGAUUCUCCCCCUUCGGGGCUUUUUGCCCCCCUUCCUGGCAAAACAAUCUCCUCCGCUGCUCGUACAAAGGGCACUUUGGGUGUCUGGAUAAAAAAACGUGUAACUUGAUGUUCAUUGGACAGAUUUUUUUUCUUACCCCUAAGGGUGAGGACCUAGAAAAAAUGUGCUUCUCCCCUCGGCUUCACUAUCUUCUCUCUCCACCCCAACGCUUUUUCCUUCAUUCACUUUUAGUAGGGCUACGGAGAUUGUGGAGCGGGAAGGGGCGGGCGAGAGAGAGGCUGUGGCGAUUUUCCAAAGAUCUCCAAGGCCAGGGACACAAUAGACGCUGCGCGUUCCUGGCCCCUACGAGCCCCGCUGAGCGUGCGCGUCUUGUCCGGGCGCCGGCCGGCACUGAGCACUAAGUUUUCCCGCUGGACGUACUAAGAGGAGACAGAACGCCCGCCAAGAAACCGACACCCAGACCCCUGGAGAAGGCAAGGACCCGGCGGAUGGAAAGGCGAGACUAGCACGCACCUGCGCUAGAUGUUCGUUUUCAGUAGACAGGGCUUCCGCCUCUCCAUUGCCCUCCCGGGUUAGUGAGUUAUUUGCCGCUAUCUCAGUGGGUAGGAAGAGGGGCCCUGAACACUGAGAUGAUUACUCAAUUGCGUCUGGGAGCUUCCCACAUUUCCCCGUCGGUGCUGGGCUCUCGGGAUAUUGGCAAGCAGAGUCUCGGGGCUCUUGGCGCGCCGAUCGGUUUGGGGCUCUUCUCUGGGUGCAACAGGUCUGUUGAACCUGGAACCGAGAGGGGAGCAGCCGAGGUGACGUGGAGGGGCGGAGGGGCUGGGGGAGGCUGGUUUCCAAGAGCCGCACUCCCGAGGUUGGGGAGCGCGUGCCCGUCUCCCCGCAGAGCGAGACGCCCGCGGCUGGAUGCAAACCAGAGGUCCCUACAACUCCGGCUGGCGAACCGCAGGUGGGAGCUCUCGGCUGCCAGGCUCCGGACAGGCCCCCCAGCUCACCCCACUUCAGCUUCGUGGCCGCAAGAGGUAACCUUUCGCAAAGCCAAGCCCGGGGGCCCCUUGACUAACCUGGAAAGGGCCCGGGCAGGGACUUGGUCACCAUGGCCGGAGAGGAAAAUUGAUUGCUUGCUGUCCACUUCUUUCUGGAAAAAAGUCCCCUCCUACCCUGCCGCUCAAGCUGCAGAGCAAGGGCGCGGGGAGGAGGAUGAGGAGGGAGGAAGCCUUUUGGGGAAUACUUGCCUCUCCCUGGCUGUCUGUCCGGUCCGCAGCCGCCAGAGUGGGAGACAGGUCUGUAGUUCCGACAAGGUCCGCUCCAGUGUCGACGCGGUGGACACGGCUGCGGGGGCCAGGGGACAACAGCUGCUUUAAAGCCGGGAGCAACCCACAGGUGGCCUGUCAGGGAAACGGACGUCCGUGACGUCAUCCUGAAGCCACCUUCACAGGCCAGACGUGGCUCACUUCCGGAGAGCGUACCCCACUCCUGCACCACUGCGGUGCCACAACUUGCACUCCAAGAGCCACCUGGCCCGAUCCUCACCUGUCAGGGUGGACAGACCGAGUCUCUAAAGCUCCCCCAUAGCUUCAGAAAACUCACAACCUGGCCAGAAAAUAACAAACCCGCCGCCACUGACCGAGCACACAUUUCGGGGAUUGCCAACGGCUGGCCAGCAAAACAAAUGAGACACAAGGGUGUUUUCUUGACCUCCCAGUGUUUUAAAUUUUGAAAUGCUUGUUGACAAAAUGGAGAUUUUUAAAGGAAAUCUGAGUUUUGCGUGUCCCUUGAGCAGGGGGCAGGUGUGCUGCAUGCCUUAGAGAAGCCCUGAAACCUACAGAAAGGGCUGGGGUCCAGGCCUGCUUUUCUUUUUUUACCCAUGUCACCAGCUAUUUGUUAUUAUCCUUUUUCUUUUUUCCUUUUAUUCUUUCGAUGAAAAAGAAUGAAAGUGAAAAAAUAGUUUUUUGUCUUUAUCUCACUUGUAAGCGUCCCAGUUUUUGCCCCCCUGAUUUCCCACAUUGGUCAGCAAAAGCUGCCAUGGUUUUUCUUAGAAGCGGUUCUUAACACACUUCUGGCUGUUGUCACACAGGUCCAACUGGCCUGACAGACUUCCAUGUUGCCCACAUCCUGACAACAGAGGCAGCAGGACACUUCCUCCUACGAGGCAGGAUUUUGAUUUGUUUUGUUUCUAUUUGGGGGUUUUAAAGUAUGCAGGUAUUUGGAAACACUUAAAAACCAAGUUUUUCAUUUAUUACGUAGAUAUUUGGUCACACAGAACUUUUUUUGUUUUUAAUUCUGGAGAUGGAAUCCAAGACCUCUUUAAAUUUAAGGAAUAAUAUCUCAUUUAUAAGUAUAUGGAAAAGUAGGGCUGUAGCUCAGUGGUAGCAUGCAUGAGGCCCUGGUUUCAAAUCCAACACACACAUACACACACACACUAAAAUAAAUGGAGAAAUGGGAAGAAGAAAGAAAAUUUGAAGCACUCUCAGACUCACCUUUUGUCAUGCAAACCUAGCAGUGUUUUAUAAAUUCUGAUUAGUAGAGUAAAUACAGCCAUGAAAAAUUUGAACACAAUGAAACAAUAUUCAAAUAAAAACCACCUUCAAAACCAGGGACACAUAGUUGCAUCUCACACAUUCUCUCUCACUCUGUCACAAUUAUAAGGACAGUCAUUAAAUGGGUAUUUGGAUAUGUGCAACAUAUAUGCUUCCCUUAGCAGAAGAGCUCCCAACACCCUGCAAGCAGAAACAGGCUUUUAUUUUCAUUUACAUACUUGCUGUCCUAGCCCAGUGUCUGGGAAUUUUGAUUGCAAGCAAAGGCAACUUUGUAGCUCAGUAGUAAGUAGUUCAGUCAAUUUGGAUCUAUUCUAAAUCUUGUCCAAUGUGGACUGUUUCUGGCCUAUUCAGGAAAAUUAGAGCAGGGAGAAAAAUUCUACCACAUCACACUUUUUGUGAGAAACUGUUAGGCAGUGCUGGCGAACCUACGGCAUGCACGCUGCACCUGACACACAGAGUCCUCUUUGUCAGCAUGCAAUCCAAGUCGCCCCAGCAGCAGAGCAUCAGAUAACACUUGUCUUUUCUAAACUGAAAACCUCAGUAUUCGGGUUUAACUGCAGUGUUGGUACUUUGUGAUAAAGAAGCAGGUUUGGGGAUGUAGUUUGGGGACAUGGUCUCUGCCAUCUCUGCUGUUAGGUUUCUGGGUGGAGUUCUCCAAUUCUUCGUCUUGCUGAUUUGAUCCUUAACACAGUGUACCUCUGCUGGAGCCAUUUCGUUUGUAAGUUUAAGAGCUCUAGGCUGUAGAUGAAAUGAGAGAACAAUAGUAAUCAUCUAUCCAUUAUCUUAAAAAGACACUUGAUACUUCACCAAGCAUUUCACAUGGUAUAGCUGCCUUGAUAGCAGAGCUGCCUGUUCAAUAGAAGAAGAAGCAGAACUCUCACUGUUUAAUUCACUUGAGUUACCAGGGCUUUUUAUGCUAAAAAGACCCAUUGUCUCUCUUGCAUGAAUUAUCAAAAUUACAUAGUCAAUAGUUAAGAAAGUUAAACCGACAAUUUACAAAAAUGGGAAAACAACUGGUAUAUAUUUGGAAAUGUUUUGUCCUUUAUUUAAAAUAGAAAUGUGAAUUAUUCAGAAUAGGGUACCAAUUUCUCCAUACUGAAUUUAAAAAUAAAUCCAUUUCCCAAUUCUGGAGAGGGUGUGGUGAAAUACCUUGUGGCAGUUAAAAAUUUGUUGAAUCUAUUGGAAUGCAAUUUUGUAAGGUAUAUAAAGAAUCAUAAACAUGUUCAUGCCGUUUGAGCCAAUUCUUCUUUCUGAAUAUUCUAAUAAAAUAAUCCUAAAUACAGGAAAUACUACAAAUGUGAAGGUGUACAUUGUAGUAUUGCUUAAAAAAUUUUAAAGGGAAAACAAUGUAAAUAUUCAUGUAUGAGGGGCUGGAACAUCAACCACUGAAUGGAUGGAAUGUUCUAUCAACUUUAAUGCCUAUAUAUAUGCUGAAACAUGAGCAGAGAAAAUACUCGUGAUAUACUAUCAAGGAAGGAAAUAAGCAGAAUGUAAAUUUGCCUCUACAGUUAUGGUUAAAGUAAUGGCUUAAAAAGCAUGCAUAGCUCUAGGGAUACAGCUCAGUGGUAGAACAUGUGCUUAACAUAAGCAAGGCCCUGGGUUCCAUACUAGCACGGUAAAAGGGGGGGGGGCAUGCAUAUAAAAAGUAGAACAGAGGUAUAUCAAAGUGUGAUGAAGUUUUUAUAGGUGAAUUUCAAUUUUUUUAUCAUGUACCUCAAAUUUUCUGAAAUAUAAUAUAGUUUUUGUAAUUAAAAUGGAGUAUGAUAGAAAUAUAAGAGUGGGUGGUAUUUAUUAGGCAUCUAUUAUUUAUCUAGCACUGUUCAGAUGGGCAAAAUUAGGACAAGUGUGGAGACUGGCCCUCAGACCCACACAGGCUGUUUCAGAUCUUGCCUAGGGUAUUUGGUGACCGUGAGAUGGUUUGGCUGUAUCAAUAAAGAGCUGAUGAGAA
Molecule: long non-coding RNA, 4534 nt
Filed under: Heterocephalus glaber (naked mole-rat)
Lineage: Eukaryota; Metazoa; Chordata; Mammalia; Rodentia; Bathyergidae
Description: lncRNA (ENSHGLG00100039635.1)
Source: RNAcentral